This 62-nucleotide transfer RNA is filed under the name Bankia setacea. RNAcentral's name for it is "tRNA-Cys". The record is from RNAcentral. Lineage: Eukaryota; Metazoa; Mollusca; Bivalvia; Myida; Teredinidae.
UCUCUGGUAGUUUAAGAAGAACAUGAGAUUGCAAAUCUCGGGGUGAAGCAAUUCCCAGAGAU